Molecule: ribosomal RNA, 563 nt
Filed under: uncultured bacterium
Lineage: Bacteria
Description: partial 16S ribosomal RNA
Rfam family: Bacterial small subunit ribosomal RNA
Source: RNAcentral
UGGGGAAUUUGGACAAUGGGCGAAAGCCUGAUCCAGCCAUGCCGCGUGCAGGAUGAAGGCCUUCGGGUUGUAAACUGCUUUUGUACGGAACGAAAAGCCUCUUUCUAAUAAAGAGGGGUCAUGACGGUACCGUAAGAAUAAGCACCGGCUAACUACGUGCCAGCAGCCGCGGUAAUACGUAGGGUGCAAGCGUUAAAUCGGAAUUACUGGGCGUAAAGCGUGCGCAGGCGGUUUUGUAAGACAGAGGUGAAAUCCCCGGGCUCAACCUGGGAACUGCCUUUGUGACUGCAAGGCUGGAGUGCGGCAGAGGGGGAUGGAAUUCCGCGUGUAGCAGUGAAAUGCGUAGAUAUGCGGAGGAACACCGAUGGCGAAGGCAAUCCCCUGGGCUGCACUGACGCUCAUGCACGAAAGCGUGGGGAGCAAAACAGGAUUAGAUACCCUGGUAGUCCACGCCCUAAACGAUGUCAACUGGUUGUUGGGGUCUUCACUGACUCAGUAGCGAAGCUAACGCGUGAAGUUGACCGCCUGGGGAGUACGCCGCAAGGUUGAAACUCAAAUGAAUU